ACCCUUGUACUAUGCUCGAUCCAUCUAGUGGGUCAUAGUUCGCGAUGUAUUCUUCCACUAAUGCCACAUUAAAUGAAGGCAAACUAUCUGACUUUCGUAAAAACUAAAACAUUUGCACAUUUUAAAAAUCUCGUAUUCUCCUUGGCAUCCAGCAAAUCUCCAGCUUCAUAGGCUCCAUAUUGGUAACGAUUACUACGGAUGGUGGUCCUAAAUUAUGUUUAGCUUUCACAUUUCGGCCACUUUCUUCUCUGUCCAUAGCUCUCUUUGCACUCUCUAUCGCCAUGACGCACACUCUUUCAAGUUCUAAUCGUCAAUACUACGUUCCAGUACUCCGAAACACCCAAAAUUAUAACA
This 354-nucleotide long non-coding RNA is filed under the name Physcomitrium patens. RNAcentral describes it as "long non-coding RNA (PPAT_LNC004742)". Lineage: Eukaryota; Viridiplantae; Streptophyta; Bryopsida; Funariales; Funariaceae. The record is from RNAcentral.